Coffea arabica (coffee) is the source of this 1593-nucleotide non-coding RNA. NCBI's taxonomy places the organism in Eukaryota, Viridiplantae, Streptophyta, Magnoliopsida, Gentianales, Rubiaceae. The record is from RefSeq and is a predicted model, not a curated record.
CUCAAGGUGCUUCAGGAUGUCUUGAAACUGAUACUUUUAAUCCAUGUGCCAUCGAUAGAAUUGUCAUCAUCCUAUACUUCACAACAUGCCCUGGAAUCAGUUUGAACCUGUAGAAUCUGCAUAGGAUUGCAAGUGCCAUCUUCAUCUGUAAGUAUGCUGAAUCCUUCCCAAGGCAUAUUCUUGGCCCAGCCUGCAUUCACAAGUAAUCAGAUGAUUAAGAGACCAAAGAGUUAUUCAAACCUGUAGUGUUUAUGCUUAUGAUUGUUCAGGAUAAGCCGUGAUGAAUGUUAUGCUUUUGUUUGAUUUUGUACAUAUACAUGGUUAUCGAUGUAGAGGUAAAUCUGGUUCUUUUGGUAUACCUGAAAGGCGGUGAAUUUGAAAGGAGAUGCACUUUGGAAGCAUCCUUCCUUGAGCCAUCUCUCCGGCUUAAAUGAAGCUGCAUCAGGACCCCAAUUGUACUCCAUUCUCCCCAUGGAGUAUGGAACAUAUGUUACCAUUCCUCCUGCUUUUACCCUGGUUCCAUCUGGUAAAAUGUCAUCUUCCAGGAUGCCCUUGGGAUCCUGCAAAAUUUUGGUCAGUAAAAUAGAUCCGCCUUUGCUGAUUUUACAGUAAGGAAAAUGGAGAAUGUGCCAACCUGAGGAACAGCUGGAUAUAAUCGAAGUGUUUCUGUAAUUACAGCAUGCAAGUAAAAUAGUCUGCCUAAGGACUCAUAAUUGAGGAGUCCUGCAAAUUGCAUUACUCUCUUAUUGAAUGAUUCAAAAUCAUCUCUCUGAUACGGCUGCAAUAUGAUAUUUUCUUCUUUUGCCCUGGAUUCCUCUAGAGUUUUUAGUUCUUCGUAAAUCUUCUCUGCUACAUCUUCAUGAGUCAUUAUCAUGUAUAUAGCCCAAGAAAGUGUUGUGGCUGUGGUGUCGCGACCAGCGAUCACAAAAUUCAGUACAACAUCUCUUAGGCUUUUGUCAGUCAUAUGGUUGUCGGGAUCUUUGCUGAGCUCGAUAAAUCUUGACAAGAUGUCAUGCUUAAUCUGAUAAAUGAUUGUCAAAGGCAUCAGUGAGGUUACAUGCUCGAAGAAAGCAGCGACUCUGCACUCUGCACAAGUUUAUUAGUAAGCUGUUACAUUUUUACCUUGGCAUCCUUAUUUGCCCCCUGAGCUUCUUCCAGCUCAGCCUUUCUUCUCCUUAUAACAGAAGGAUCGAUGAAUCGUAGAGUCACAAUUAUGUUUGCAGUGUCAAAUGCUUGUGCAAAGCGAUUAUCUGGCAAUUCAGGGGCCAAUGUUCCUAUUUCUGCACCAAAUCCCACUUUGCAAAUGGAGUCCAAAGUCAUCCUCAUCAACAAUUCCUGAAAAUUAGUCAGUCCCUGUAGCUGUCAGUUAAAAUUGAUGGAACAUUGAUGGAUCAUGGUUAAACAGCAAAGGAGAUUUGUAGGCAUUUGCAACUCAACCCAACUCCCUUAUCAGUGGCUUGUCUUUCGCAAUUGAAAAAGAAUAACUCAAUUGUUUUAAGACAAGUUUAAUGUCUAUACGCAAUUAAAUGUCACCAUCCGUAUAAAUGUCAGUUGUCCGAUUGUCUUGAAAAGAAUGAUAGUCACCUGCAUAUC